UCGAGAGUUUGAUCCUGGCUCAGGAUGAACGCUAGCGGCAGGCUUAACACAUGCAAGUCGAGGGGUAUAGUUCUUCGGAGCUAGAGACCGGCGCACGGGUGCGUAACGCGUAUGUAAUCUACCUUUUACAGAGGGAUAGCCCAGAGAAAUUUGGAUUAAUACCUCAUAGUAUGUGAGAAUCGCAUGGUUUUCACAUUAAAGUUCCAACGGUAAAAGAUGAGCAUGCGUCCCAUUAGCUAGAUGGUAAGGUAACGGCUUACCAUGGCAACGAUGGGUAGGGGUCCUGAGAGGGAGAUCCCCCACACUGGUACUGAGACACGGACCAGACUCCGUACGGGA
This 339-nucleotide ribosomal RNA is filed under the name uncultured Flavobacterium sp. RNAcentral's name for it is "bacterial SSU rRNA". It matches the Rfam family "Bacterial small subunit ribosomal RNA", at positions 1 to 346 of the family's 1533-position model. Lineage: Bacteria; Pseudomonadati; Bacteroidota; Flavobacteriia; Flavobacteriales; Flavobacteriaceae. The record is from RNAcentral.